UUAUAGGCAAAACUUGGUGCAAAAAUGAGGAAAAUUUGACAUUUUGUCAAACAGGGUAAGGAACUUGGUUCCUCGAAUAACUUCUGGCACAUGCAUCUGAGGGCAUGGCCGUCCAAGAAGAAAAUGUAGCCAUUGAUGCCAUCUAUCGACCACAGGUUAAAGAUUGGCGAUCCGUUGGAUACCGACCGAGUUAUAGGCAAAACUUGGUGCAAAAAUGAGGAAAAUUUGACAUUUUGUCAAACAGGGUAAGGAACUUGGUUCCUCGAAUAACUUCUGGCACAGACAUCUGAGGGCAUGGCUGUCCAAGAAGAAAAUGUAGCCAUUGAUGCCAUCUAUCGACCACAGGUUAAAGAUUGGCGAUCCGUUGGAUACCGACCGAGUUAUAGGCAAAACUUGGUGCAAAAAUGAGGAAAAUUUGACAUUUUGUCAAACAGGGUAAGGAACUUGGUUCCUCGAAUAACUUCUGGCACACACAUCUGAGGGCAUGGCCGUCCAAGAAGAAAAUGUAGCCAUUGAUGCCAUCUAUCGACCACAGGUUAAAGAUUGGCGAUCCGUUGGAUACCGACCGAGUUAUAGGCAAAACUUGGUGCAAAAAUGAGUCUUGUGAAAUUUUCAA
Anopheles funestus (African malaria mosquito) is the source of this 616-nucleotide long non-coding RNA. RefSeq lists it as uncharacterized. NCBI's taxonomy places the organism in Eukaryota, Metazoa, Arthropoda, Insecta, Diptera, Culicidae. The transcript has 3 exons. The record is from RefSeq and is a predicted model, not a curated record.